Molecule: ribosomal RNA, 500 nt
Filed under: uncultured bacterium
Lineage: Bacteria
Description: partial 16S ribosomal RNA
Rfam family: Bacterial small subunit ribosomal RNA
Source: RNAcentral
AUUGAACGCUGGCGGAAUGCUUUACACAUGCAAGUCGAACGGCAGCACAGACUUCGGUCUGGUGGCGAGUGGCGAACGGGUGAGUAAUGUAUCGGAACGUGCCCAGUCGUGGGGGAUAACGUAGUGAAAAUUACGCUAAUACCGCAUACGAUCUAUGAAUGAAAGCGGGGGAUCGCGAGACCUCGCGCGAUUGGAGCGGCCGAUAUCAGAUUAGGUAGUUGGUGGGGUAAAGGCCCACCAAGCCAACGAUCUGUAGCUGGUCUGAGAGGACGACCAGCCACACUGGAACUGAGACACGGUCCAGACUCCUACGGGAGGCAGCAGUGGGGAAUUUUGGACAAUGGGCGAAAGCCUGAUCCAGCCAUUCCGCGUGCAGGAUGAAGGCCCUCGGGUUGUAAACUGCUUUUGUACAGAACGAAAAGGUUUCUACUAAUACUAGGAGCUCAUGACGGUACUGUAAGAAUAAGCACCGGCUAACUACGUGCCAGCCGCCGCCGUAA